Molecule: ribosomal RNA, 405 nt
Filed under: uncultured bacterium
Lineage: Bacteria
Description: partial 16S ribosomal RNA
Rfam family: Bacterial small subunit ribosomal RNA
Source: RNAcentral
AUUGAACGCUAGCGGGAUGCUUUACACAUGCAAGUCGAACGAGUGGCGGACGGGUGAGUAAUAUAUCGGAACGUGCCCUGAAGCGGGGGAUAACUACUCGAAAGAGUGGCUAAUACGGCAUACCUUUGGAGUGGCCGAUAUCGGCUUAGCGAGUUGGUGGGGUAAAGGCUCACCAAGGCAACGAGCCGUAGCUGGUUUGAGAGGAGGACCUGCCACACUGGAACUUAGACACGGCCCAGACUCCUACGGUGGGCAGCAGUGGGGAAUUUUUGUCAAUGGGCGAAACCCUUAUCCAGCCAUUCCGCGUGUUUGAGAAGGCCUUCGGGUCGUAAAGUACUUUUAGCAGAGAAGCGGUAUCUGAAGAAUAAGCACCGGCUAACUACGUGCCAGCAGCCGCGGUAAUAC